RNAcentral lists this ribosomal RNA (440 nucleotides) under uncultured bacterium. RNAcentral describes it as "partial 16S ribosomal RNA". It matches the Rfam family "Bacterial small subunit ribosomal RNA", at positions 338 to 795 of the family's 1533-position model. The record is from RNAcentral.
CCUACGGGUGGCAGCAGUAGGGAAUAUUGCUCAAUGGGGGAAACCCUGAACCAGCAACGCCGCGUGGAGGAUGAAGGUUUUAGGAUUGUAAAAUCCCUUUGUUCGAGAAGCUUAUGCCGGUAUCUAACGAAUAAGCACCGGCUAACACCGUGCCAGCAGCCGCGGUAAUACGGAGGGUGCCAGCGUUACUCGGAAUCACUGGGCGUAAAGCGUGCGUAGGCGGGGUAAUAAGUCAGAUGUGAAAUCCUGUAGCUUAACUACAGAACUGCAUUUGAAACUGGUACUCUGGAGUGUGAGAGAGGUAGGCGGAAUGCUUGGUGUAGGGGUAAAAUCCAUAGAGAUCAAGCGGAAUACUGAUUGCGAAGGCAGCAUGCCGGAUCCCUACUGACGCUGAUGCACGAAAGCGUGGGGAGCGAACAGGAUUAGAUACCCGAGUAGUC